This 251-nucleotide ribosomal RNA is filed under the name uncultured bacterium. RNAcentral describes it as "partial 16S ribosomal RNA". It matches the Rfam family "Bacterial small subunit ribosomal RNA", at positions 525 to 775 of the family's 1533-position model. The record is from RNAcentral.
ACGGAGGAUGCGAGCGUUAUCCGGAUUUAUUGGGUUUAAAGGGUGCGUAGGCGGACUUUUAAGUCAGCUGUGAAAGUUUGCGGCUCAACCGUAAAAUUGCAGUUGAUACUGUUAGUCUUGAGUAUGUUUGAGGAAGGCGGAAUUCGUGGUGUAGCGGUGAAAUGCUUAGAUAUCACGAAGAACUCCGAUUGCGUAGGCAGCUUUCCAGACCAUAACUGACGCUGAGGCACGAAAGUGUGGGUAUCAAACAG